AUGGAUGGCUCAGUGGUCGAGAGCACUGACUGCUCUUCUAGGGGACCUGGGUUCAAUUCCCAACACCUAUA
RNAcentral lists this transfer RNA (71 nucleotides) under Mus musculus (house mouse). Its description in RNAcentral is "tRNA-Ser". The record is from RNAcentral. Lineage: Eukaryota; Metazoa; Chordata; Mammalia; Rodentia; Muridae.